GACGAACGCUGGCGGCGUGCUUAACACAUGCAAGUCGAACGGAAAGGCCCUGCUUUUGUGGGGUGCUCGAGUGGCGAACGGGUGAGUAACACGUGAGUAACCUGCCCUUGACUUUGGGAUAACUUCAGGAAACUGGGGCUAAUACCGGAUAGGAGCUCCUGCUGCAUGGUGGGGGUUGGAAAGUUUCGGCGGUUGGGGAUGGACUCGCGGCUUAUCAGCUUGUUGGUGGGGUAGUGGCUUACCAAGGCUUUGACGGGUAGCCGGCCUUAGAGGGUGACCGGCCACAUUGGGACUGAGAUACGGCCCAGACUCCUACGGGAGGCAGCAGUGGGGAAUAUUGCACAAUGGGCGGAAGCCUGAUGCAGCAACGCCGCGUGCGGGAUGACGGCCUUCGGGUUGUAAACCGCUGUCGCCUGUGACGAAGCGUGAGUGACGGUAACGGGUAAAGAAGCACCGGCUAACUACGUG
Molecule: ribosomal RNA, 468 nt
Filed under: uncultured bacterium
Lineage: Bacteria
Description: partial 16S ribosomal RNA
Rfam family: Bacterial small subunit ribosomal RNA
Source: RNAcentral